GACGAACGCUGGCGGCGUGCUUAACACAUGCAAGUCGAACGGAAAGGCCCUGCUUUUGUGGGGUGCUCGAGUGGCGAACGGGUGAGUAACACGUGAGUAACCUGCCCUUGACUUUGGGAUAACUUCAGGAAACUGGGGCUAAUACCGGAUAGGAGCUCCUGCUGCAUGGUGGGGGUUGGAAAGUUUCGGCGGUUGGGGAUGGACUCGCGGCUUAUCAGCUUGUUGGUGGGGUAGUGGCUUACCAAGGCUUUGACGGGUAGCCGGCCUGAGAGGGUGACCGGCCACAUUGGGACUGAGAUACGGCCCGGACUCCUACGGGAGUCAGCAGUGGGGAAUAUUGCACAAUGGGCGGAAGCCUGAUGCAGCAACGCCGCGUGCGGGAUGACGGCCUUCGGGUUGUAAACCGCUUCCGCCUGUGACGAAGCGUGAGUGACGGUAAUGGGUAAAGAAGCACCGGCUAACUACGUG
RNAcentral lists this ribosomal RNA (468 nucleotides) under uncultured bacterium. RNAcentral describes it as "partial 16S ribosomal RNA". It matches the Rfam family "Bacterial small subunit ribosomal RNA", at positions 28 to 507 of the family's 1533-position model. The record is from RNAcentral.